AUUGGACUGAGACCCGGCCCAAACUCCUACGGGAGGCUGCAGUAGGGAUCUUCCACAAUGGGCGAAAGCCUGAUGGAGCAACGCCGCGUGUUGAUGAAGGCUUUCGGGUCGUAAAGCACUGUUGUAUGGGAAGAAAAGUUAAGGUAGGGAAUGACCUUAGCCUGACGGUACCAUACCAGAAAGGGACGGCUAAAUACGUGCCAGCAGCCGCGGUAAUACGUAUGUCCCGAGCGUUAUCCGGAUUUAUUGGGCGUAAAGCGAGCGCAGACGGUUGGUUAAGUCUGAUGUGAAAGCCCGGAGCUCAACUCCGGAAAGGCAUUGGAAACUGGUUAACUUGAGUGCAGUAGAGGUAAGUGGAACUCCAUGUGUAGCGGUGGAAUGCGUAGAUAUAUGGAAGAACACCAGCGGCGAAGGCGGCUUACUGGACUGUAACUGACGUUGAGGCUCGAAAGUGUGGGUAGCAAACAGGAUUAGAUACCCUGGUAGUCCACACCGUAAACGAUGAACACUAGGUGUUAGGAGGUUUCCGCCUCUUAGUGCCGAAGCUAACGCAUUAAGUGUUCCGCCUGGGGAGUACGACCGCAAGGUUGAAACUCAAAGGAAUUGACGGGGACCCGCACAAGCGGUGGAGCAUGUGGUUUAAUUCGAAGCAACGCGAAGAACCUUACCAGGUCUUGACAUCCUUUGAAGCUUUUAGAAAUAGAAGUGUUCUCUUCGGAGACAAAGUGACAGGUGGUGCAUGGUCGUCGUCAGCUCGUGUCGUGAGAUGUUGGGUUAAGUCCCGCAACGAGCGCAACCCUUAUUGUUAGUUGCCAGCAUUCAGAUGGGCACUCUAGCGAGACUGCCGGUGACAAACCGGAGGAAGGCGGGGACGACGUCAGAUCAUCAUGCCCCUUAUGACCUGGGCUACACACGUGCUACAAUGGCGUAUACAACGAGUUGCCAACCUGCGAAGGUGAGCUAAUCUCUUAAAGUACGUCUCAGUUCGGACUGCAGUCUGCAACUCGACUGCACGAAGUCGGAAUCGCUAGUAAUCGCGGAUCAGCACGCCGCGGUGAAUACGUUCCCGGGUCUUGUACACACCGCCCGUCACACCAUGGAAGUUUGUAAUGCCCAAAGCCGGUGGCCUAACCGUAAGGAGGAACCGUCUAAGGC
RNAcentral lists this ribosomal RNA (1155 nucleotides) under Leuconostoc carnosum. RNAcentral describes it as "bacterial SSU rRNA". It matches the Rfam family "Bacterial small subunit ribosomal RNA", at positions 312 to 1463 of the family's 1533-position model. The record is from RNAcentral. Lineage: Bacteria; Bacillati; Bacillota; Bacilli; Lactobacillales; Lactobacillaceae.